This 361-nucleotide ribosomal RNA is filed under the name Rhizobium sp. R-26835. RNAcentral's name for it is "bacterial SSU rRNA". It matches the Rfam family "Bacterial small subunit ribosomal RNA", at positions 20 to 411 of the family's 1533-position model. The record is from RNAcentral. Lineage: Bacteria; Pseudomonadati; Pseudomonadota; Alphaproteobacteria; Hyphomicrobiales; Rhizobiaceae.
UGGCUCAGAACGAACGCUGGCGGCAGGCUUAACACAUGCAAGUCGAGCGCCCCGCAAGGGGAGCGGCAGACGGGUGAGUAACGCGUGGGAAUCUACCGUACCCUACGGAAUAACGCAUGGAAACGUGUGCUAAUACCGUAUACGCCCUAUGGGGGAAAGAUUUAUCGGGGUAUGAUGAGCCCGCGUUGGAUUAGCUAGUUGGUGGGGUAAAGGCCUACCAAGGCGACGAUCCAUAGCUGGUCUGAGAGGAUGAUCAGCCACAUUGGGACUGAGACACGGCCCAAACUCCUACGGGAGGCAGCAGUGGGGAAUAUUGGACAAUGGGCGCAAGCCUGAUCCAGCCAUGCCGCGUGAGUGAUGA